GGGCGAUUGGUUUAGUGGUAUAACGUCUGCUUAGCAUCGAAACGAGUAAUCGUGAGAUCCUGUCUGCUGAAGGUCGCGCGUUCGAUUCGCGCAUUGUCCA
This is a transfer RNA of Verticillium albo-atrum, 100 nucleotides long. It matches the Rfam family "tRNA". Rfam says of the family: Transfer RNA (tRNA) molecules are approximately 80 nucleotides in length. Their secondary structure includes four short double-helical elements and three loops (D, anti-codon, and T loops). Further hydrogen bonds mediate the characteristic L-shaped molecular structure. tRNAs have two regions of fundamental functional importance: the anti-codon, which is responsible for specific mRNA codon recognition, and the 3' end, to which the tRNAs corresponding amino acid is attached (by aminoacyl-tRNA synthetases). tRNAs cope with the degeneracy of the genetic code in two manners: having more than one tRNA (with a specific anti-codon) for a particular amino acid; and 'wobble' base-pairing, i.e. permitting non-standard base-pairing at the 3rd anti-codon position. NCBI's taxonomy places the organism in Eukaryota, Fungi, Ascomycota, Sordariomycetes, Glomerellales, Plectosphaerellaceae. The record is from Rfam.